This 59-nucleotide microRNA precursor is filed under the name Petromyzon marinus (sea lamprey). RNAcentral's name for it is "Pma-Mir-15-P2o4_pre stem-loop". The record is from RNAcentral. Lineage: Eukaryota; Metazoa; Chordata; Hyperoartia; Petromyzontiformes; Petromyzontidae.
UAGCAGCACGUAAAUAUUGGAGUGUGAACUCUGCGAUUCCAGUAUUUCGUGCUGCUGCU